UACGGAGGGUGCAAGCGUUAUCCGGAUUCACUGGGUUUAAAGGGUGCGUAGGCGGGUAUGUAAGUCAGCGGUGAAAUCCCCGAGCUUAACUUGGGAACUGCCGUUGAUACUAUAUAUCUUGAAUGUCGUGGAGGUUAGCGGAAUAUGUCAUGUAGCGGUGAAAUGCUUAGAUAUGACAUAGAACACCCAUUGCGAAGGCAGCUAACUACGCGAAUAUUGACGCUGAGGCACGAAAGCGUGGGGAUCAAACGGG
Molecule: ribosomal RNA, 253 nt
Filed under: uncultured bacterium
Lineage: Bacteria
Description: partial 16S ribosomal RNA
Rfam family: Bacterial small subunit ribosomal RNA
Source: RNAcentral